GAUGAACGCUGGCGGCGUGCCUAAUACAUGCAAGUCGAGCGAACAGACGAGGAGCUUGCUCCUCUGACGUUAGCGGCGGACGGGUGAGUAACACGUGGAUAACCUACCUAUAAGACUGGGAUAACUUCGGGAAACCGGAGCUAAUACCGGAUAAUAUAUUGAACCGCAUGGUUCAAUAGUGAAAGACGGUUUUGCUGUCACUUAUAGAUGGAUCCGCGCCGCAUUAGCUAGUUGGUAAGGUAACGGCUUACCAAGGCAACGAUGCGUAGCCGACCUGAGAGGGGGAACGGCCACUAGGGAAGUGAGAAACGGUCCGAGCCCAUACGGGGGGCAAGGGUGGGGAGUCUUCCAGUAGGGGAGAAUGUUUGACGGCACAACCCCGCGGAAGUGUGGAAGUUUUUCGGGCUGUAAAAUUUGGUUAUUAGGGGAAAAGAAAUGUGAAAGUAACUUAAGUCGUCUUGAGGGUACCUAGUCAAGAUGCCGCAGUUGAAGACUU
RNAcentral lists this ribosomal RNA (496 nucleotides) under uncultured bacterium. RNAcentral describes it as "partial 16S ribosomal RNA". It matches the Rfam family "Bacterial small subunit ribosomal RNA", at positions 28 to 506 of the family's 1533-position model. The record is from RNAcentral.